This 5796-nucleotide long non-coding RNA is filed under the name Pelobates cultripes (western spadefoot toad). Lineage: Eukaryota; Metazoa; Chordata; Amphibia; Anura; Pelobatidae. The record is from RNAcentral.
CUUCAUGAAGGGGUAAAACGAUCUGAUUUAUUGUGGGCUACCCGCCCGGUAUUUAUGCAGGUCUCCCACCUGGUGGACACUCCCCUAGGGGACCAGAUGGAAGACUGGGACAAAAGUAUCACAGUAGCCUAUCACAGUGGCUAUAGCACAAGCACUCCCCUUUUACAUAAAUCACUCCCUCUUUUCCAUCCUGGAGAUAAUUAACUUAAGGUAGCAAAGAGAGCCUUAAUUAUCUCCAGGUAGAAAGAAACAUGGCUUUUCUUAUUUUAGCAAAACAGCUUAAAAAUCUAUAACUUUCCUUUUACAUAACAUAAACUUUAAGUCCCACAUAUCCCCAGAUAGCUUGGAUCUGAGUGCAUAUUCUAGGCGAAUAGCGCUCAGAUCCCACGAACCCAGUUCUCAGAAACGUCAACUGAAGUUUGGCUUUCGCCAGCCGUUCGUGUGUUUGUAGCCGACUAAAAGUUCCAUACUGUAGUUAUCUGGGCUCGGUCACUUUCGCAUACUUCCAGCGCACGAAUGAAGUAGUAUCUCCUUCAUUCGUGUGUUUUUCCACCGUACGAACGAGGAUUUGAAGAGGUAGCAGCAGUGUUCGAAAAAAUAAGUAGCCGAAAUUAGUUCCAGGGAAUCCUCGCCAUUUACUGCUGAGUGUUCGACAAUCCAAAAUCGCGAUUGCCACGUGUUCGGUAAACGAACACGGAACACCAGCUAUUCCCCAAUUAGUCUGUGGUUAACCGCAACAGUCUGGGUGGUUAAUAGGCGCCACACGACCUCAGUGGGAGGUUGCGUGGUUCGGUAGUUCAUUCGCUUUUCUCGCUAUUUGCACGAAUUCCCGCUGUAAUCAUCCAAAUAACCGAACAGGCUGGUUCGCAUGGUCUGUUUAAUAAGGGAUUUCGUUACACAGCUCCCCCUCAGUCCCAUGGAACGGCAUACCUGCCUAGAUCCUAACGGGUCGGCUAAGGGAUGUCCGGUAAAACAGGAAAAACAAACAAAAUAAUUACUUCUCCAGUUCAGUUUGCCGUGACAGGCCAUCUGCAUUGGCAUUCUGCUUCCCGGGGCGAUACUGCAUUGUAAAAUUAUAGGGUUGCAGUGCCAAGCUCCAUUUGAGUAGUCUGGGGUUAUCGCCAGCUACUCUGUUAAGCCAAAUCAAAGGGUUGUGGUCAGUCAGCACUGUGAAAGAGCGUCUAUACAGGUAAGGUUGUAGUUUUUUAAGUGCCCAAACUAAUGCCAGACACUCUUUUUCCACGUUGGCAUAGCUGACUUCGCAUGGUAACAGUUUUCUGCUCAGAUACGCCACCGGGUGAUCCAUGCCAUCGUCUCCCACCUGGCUCAAUACUGCUCCCAGUCCAAACAUUGAGGCAUCUGUGUGAACGAGAAACCUUUUGGUAUGAUCAGGUGCCGCCAACACAGGAGAUGCACUUAACGCAGCCUUGAGUUUCUGGAAAGCCUCCUCACACUCAGUGGACCAGACUACUUGUCGGGGUAGGGACUUUUUGGUGAGGUCUGUCAGGGGUUUGGCUAGGGCACUGUAUUCCGCUACAAAUUUCCUGUAAUAACCUGCGGUGCCCAAGAACGCCAUGACCUGUGUUUUAGUCUGGGGUUGGGGCCACUGGGUGAUGGCCUCAAUCUUAGCUGGCUAUGGUCUUUGUCUUCCUGACCCUACUCUGUGGCCUAAAUAUUGGACUUCAACCAUGCCUACGUGGCAUUUCUCUGGCUUCAUGGUGAGCCCUGCGUUCUGAAUUCGGUUGAGCACUACUGAGAUGUGCUCCAGGUGGGCUUCCCAAGUGCCACUGAAGACAGCUAUAUCGUCCAGGUAAGCACAAGCGAAGCCCUGAAAUCCCUCUAGGAGCCGGUCUGCCAUCCUUUGGAACGUAGCUGGGGCAUUCUUCAUCCCAAAUGGCAUAACCUUAAACUGGUAUAGGCCAAAUGGGGUGACAAAUGCCGAUUUUGGAAUGGCCUCAGGCUCCAAGGGGAUUUGCCAAUAUCCCUUGCACAAAUCAAUAGUCAAAUAAUUCCCCCCAGCCAUACGGUCUAGAAGCUCGUCUACUCUGGGCAUGGGGUAUGCGUCGGUAAUGGUCCGAUCGUUUAGUUUACAGUAGUCCACACAGAACCUGGUGGUACCGUCUUUCUUAGGAACCAGGACUACUGGGGAAGCCCACGGGCUUUGGGACGGUUCUAUGACCCCCAGUUCUAACAUGUCCUGGAUUUCCUUUAACAUGCUUUCCCAUACUGCUUCGGGGAUUCGGUAGGGCUGCUGCCGCAGGGGUAACUGGCCUGGGGUCUCCACUCUGUGGACUGCCAGGGUCGUAUACCCCAGGGCUGCUGAAAACAUGUCCCCAAACUCCUUUAACAGUUGGGAAGCCUGAUCUUGCUCCUUGAGACCUAAUUCUGGACCCAACUGUACCUGGUCUACUCCUGUAGGUUCUUGAGGAAGCAUAUCUGGUAAAGGGAUACCCUCACUAUCUUCAUACGCUGGAGCGCAUACCGCGGAAACCUCCUCUGUUGUCUCGAGAUAUGGCUUGAGCAUAUUUACAUGGAAGGACCGCCGGAUCCUUUCAUUGGAACAGUCUGCCACAAUGUAUGUGGUAUCACUGAUCCGCUCUAUUACAGUGUAGGGGCCCUGCCAGGAUGCUUGUAACUUAUCCGUUUUGAUGGGCUUAAGCACUAGGACCUUUUGUCCUACUUCUAAUAUACGGUCUCUAGCUCCCUUGUCGUACCAGUACUUCUGCCGUUGUUGGGCGGCCCGCAGGUUCUCCCGAACUGUUUCGGUCAGAGCCUGUAGCUGGUCCCUCAACUCUAGUACAAAUGAGACUAUAGGGGUACCCGCUUGUUCCUUAUCACCUUCCCAAUGUUCCCGUACUAAAUCCAGGGGUCCCCGGACCCGUCUCCCGUAUAAUAGUUCGAACGGGAAGAAUCCGGUGGACUCCUGGGGAACUUCCCUACAGGCGAAGAGCAAAUGGGGAAGGAAUCUUUCCCAAUUCCGACAGGUCUCUGUGAACGUGAUGAGCAUUUGCUUAAGGGUGCCGUUAAAAUGUUCACAGAGGCCAUUGGUUUGGGGGUGAUAGGGAGAACUUAAUAUGGGUUUUACCCCACAGCUCUGCCAGAGCUGUUGGGUAACCACCGCUGUGAAUUGGGUUCCCUGAUCCGACACUAUCUCCCUAGGGAAUCCCACCCUAGUAAACACCUGAACCAGUGCUUCCACUACCGUCUCUGCAUGUAUAUUUGACAGCGCUAUAGCUUCGGGGUAGCGGGUAGCGUAGUCCACCACAGUAAGAAUGUAUUUCUUACCGGAUGGACUGGGUUUGCUGAGUGGUCCGACUAAAUCAACUGCCACUCGGAAAAAUGGUUCCUCAAUGAUGGGUAGGGGACGUAGUUUUGCCCUGGGGUGAUCCCCUCUCUUCCCUACCUUUUGGCAUACCUUGCAGGUCCUACAAUAAUCCUGCAAAUCCCUAGUGACCCCCGGCCAGAAAAAUGAUUGGGUGAGUCGGUCUCUAGUCUUUUUAAUGCCUAAGUGACCUGCUAGGGGGAUAUCGUGGCUAAUCCAUAACAGUUCUACCCGAUACUUACAGGGCACUAUUAACUGUCUUUUUUCUACCUGACCCGCUCCUUUCCCUGUCCCCCCGGUCACUCUGUACAGUAAACCCUUUUCCCAGCUAAAUCUUGCCUGAUCUCCGUCUCCCUGGGGUUGUUCGGCCUCCCUCUGAUAUCCCUUUAAGGUGGGAUCUUCCCGCUGAGCUUGCUCAAAGUCUUAAGGGGUACCCCAGUAAGAAGUAUGGUCAGGGUGAAUCGUCAGUGGGUUAUUGCCUACCUGGUCAUGGGUUGAGGGGGAGCCCUCCAUAGCUCUGGAUUGCUGCCGGGAGGUAACAGGUAGUGCUCCUUCUGGACUGCAGGCUGCCAAUUGGGACGUCAGGCAUCCUAAAUCAUUCCCCAGCAACACUUUCGCUGGCAAAUCUGGCAUGAUGCCAAACUUCCACGGCCUUGGCCCCCGUACCCCAAUCAAUGUGUACCCGGGCUGUUGGUAGUUUAUGAAUUGCCCCUCCGGCCACCGUUACAGCAAUGGUGCGUCCUGUGUGCUGGGUUGGGGUGACCCGGUGUGGCUGGACCAAGGUAAUAGUAGCCCCGCUAUCUCUCAGUCCCCGAGCCUCUUGUCCAUUUAGCUUUACCGACUGCUGAUGGUGCGCCCUGUUAUCCCCAGCCGCUUGCACAGGGUUCACCUCAUGUAAGUUGGCCCAAUUCUCACUGUGGUUACUGGGUGUCUCUUGAGUCAGAGAGUUGUAAUCCUCUUGCACACAGUGUGCGGCUGCUUUGGUUGGUGGUACUGGUGUCCGCCCCCAGCGGUCUGUAGUGCGUUGUGGGCAAUUAGGUUUGAUGUGCCACACUUGCUUGCACCCAUAACACAUUGGAGCGGUCUUUUGGUACCCCGGGGUUGUGGUAUUGCCCCCCGGUGGUGGUACCCUCUGUGGCAUAGCUGGCAGACCAGAUGCAGGCCACUGGCCCUGGAAUCCUCGGUUCACCGUCCACCGUUUUUGGCUUUCUGUCUCUGACCCAGUCUCUCACCUCCACUGGUGUAUAAUCAAAAAAUUGCUCCAGUAAUAUCAAUUGUACAGCAUCCUCUAGGGUAGUUGCCUGAUUCCCCUGCAUCUAAUUACUGGCAGCGCGUUGCAUACGAAAUGCCCACUCAGUAUACGAAUCCUUGCCUUGCCUCCUGAGGGCCCGAAAUUCAGGAGUUACAGCGUACCGAGCUAACAAAAUCUCUUUUAUUUUUUCGUAGUUUUGUGUAUCCCUAUCUGGCACAGCUCUCAACGCUUCGGCUGCUCUACCUGAUAAUUUGCUGCUUAAUACUGCAGCCCAGUUAGCUCUUUCCAAAUCUUCUAGCACACAUUGUCUCUCAAAAUCUUGCAAGUAAUUAUCAAUAUCCAUCUCACCUUCCACGAGGCUUUUAAAUGCAGCGUAGUUGAUUUUCCACUGACGCCCCAUUGUAGAUCCAGAUAGCGACAAUAUAUCCACAGGAGGUGAUCUGUCUCUGGCUUCUCGGGCUUCCCUGGCAUUCUGGGUCUCUGUAGCUUGUGCCAAGAUCUGUACCACGAUCUCUGGUGCAGGGUUAGGUCCUACCAGGCUGAGUCUCCAUCUCACAUCCAUCUGGAACUCUGUUUCCUCUGCAUUCGCCAUUUGUUGUUCGCCGGUUUGAUCGCUCUCCAGUAGUUCGGCUAUUAACGUGGCUUUCGGUUUGUUGCUUGCCACUAUGCCUCGAGCUUCCAGCAGUUCCUUCAAUGUAGUUCGUUUCAAGCGUUCGUAUCUAUGCGCCAUUCACCACUUGUUUCGAUUCGGUACGUCCGUUCGGGAGGAAAUCCCACCGCUUGCCACCAGUGUAAAGGAUCCUUCUAUUCGUGCAGCGAUGAUCCUUACAGCUUCUCCCGAAAUCCAGCUGAAACAAAGUGAUUAUAACUCCCAAUCCCCCAAAAAUGAAUCGAGACUUCAUGAAGGGGUAAAACGAUCUGAUUUACUGUGGGCUACCCGCCCGGUAUUUAUGCAGGUCUCCCACCUGGUGGACACUCCCCUAGGGGACCAGAUGGAAGACUGGGACAAAAGUAUCAGAGUAGCCAAUCACAGUGGCUAUAGCACAAGCACUCCCCUUUUACAUAAAUCACUCCCUCUUUUCCAUCCUGGAGAUAAUUAACUUAAGGUAGCAAAGAGAGCCUUAAUUAUCUCCAGGUAGAAAGAAACAUGGCUUUUCUUAUUUUAGCAAAACAGCAUAAAAAUCUAUAACUUUCCUUUUACAUAACAUAAACUUUAAGUCCC